GUUUCAUGCCACCCUCACCCAGGCCAUCUUCUCUUUUCUUCUUGAACUCAGAUGAACGUGGUGGAAAACAUCGCAAGCUGGUGUAGGGCCUGGCCACCCCUGGUCCCCUCCUGAGGGCUUCCUGUCUGGGAGCAUUGCCUUAACCCAGCAGCCAAAUACACGUAGCUGCCCAUGUGAUGGCUUCGAUGACACGCAUGCAGCCUGCACAGCCGGACACACCCACUGACCCCCUUCCUGCCCCUGGAGUACCUGAGGUCGGAACACGCGUCUCCCCAUCUCCAGAGCUCCUGAGGGAUGUCUGCUGAAAAGAGGUUUUGAUGAAGGAGGUCUUAGAAAGACACGCUUUCGGGUCCAGUUAAUAUCAGCAAAUUUAAUGAUUUUCUUGGUAUUUUCUUUUAAAAACUGGUAUUUUAAGAUUUAUCUCUGCCGCUCUCAUUUGUUUAGAAUGAAAUUCAAUUAAGAAGGUAUAUUAUUCAUCUAUAAAACUCACCCUUUUCUAAAAUCAGAUGGGAUUUAAAACAUUUUACCAAAUUUUACCUUUUUUAAUGUUUAUUUUUGAGAGAGAGACAGAGAGAAAGAACGAGGGAGGGGAGGGGCAGAGGGAGAGGGAGAGGAAGAAUCCCACGUGGGCUCCACACUGUCAGCACUGAGCCUGACUCAGGGCUCAAACCCACGAACUAUGGGAUCAUGACCUGAGCCAAAAUCAAGAGUCUGAUGCUUAACUGACCGAGCCACCCAGGUGUCCCACGAAUUUUUACCUCUUAAGCGAUCCAAUAAUGUUUUCCAAACUUAAUUAAUUUUAAAUUGAGAUCACAAAGGAAGACAUACUUACUAUUUUUGUAAUGGAAAAGGACCGAGGCCUGGGAAAUGGGAGCAGCUCCUGUCGGCGGUUGGUGGAUGUUGUUCGGACCUUUCUCGGUUACCAGGUGGUAAGCCAGCCUGUCCUCACCACACGCACCCACCUCUCCUGUCGCUGCACCUCAGCAGAUGCACCCUUUGCUUCUUUCUGAGUGGACACUCAACUGGCCACUGCUGGUGUACACUGAAGUCGGGUAAACUUUCUGUCUUCACGAGGGGCAGGAAUAGAGGCCCGUGCGCUGCUCUGCCAGUUCCAGACCUGCAGUUACGGGGUCAGAGGGCACGUACACCUGAAACUCUGCUAGGUUCUAAGUGUCUUUUGGUAGCAACUCAAAGCGCUUUCAGCGAAAUGCUUGGGAGGAAGCCCAGAAGGCACGUGUGAGAGCCGGCGCGGCCCCCCUCCCUGGGGCGGGGGGACUUGAGCCCAGGAGGCGGCUCUGCCUCCCCGCGGCCCCUCUAGCGCCUGGAUGCACGGGAUCUGUCUCUUCGCUUCCUUGCUGACGGCACUUGGGUUGUUUCUGCUUUUGAUUUUUAUGAACAAAGCUGCUGUGGACACUGUCGUACAAGCCACUCCGCAGGCAUAGGCCUUCUUGGGUGAGUUCCGAAGGUGGACCGGCUGGACCACGUGCCACGAUGAGUUGAACGCAAUAUGAGCGCUGGGCAGCCGAGUCAACACAGUUACAGGAUUUCGCCAGACGGACACAUACUGACAAUCUACCACUGGCACUGAAUCACUCAGAGGCGUUAACUGGAGGCCCCAGCAGCUGGGGAGGUGCUUUCUCCUGAUGGAACUUUGAGUUGAAAAACCCUCUCUUCAGCUGUGCCCUGUCUGUUGUCCAGAAAAUUCAAUGAGCUCUUCACUUCAGGUAAUUUAACUUUGUCCCUUACUCCUCAUGUGCUGCCCUGACUCCUGGGGCGUGGCCCUUCUGGCGUCUCAGCUGCUGCCUGGGUUGCACCAAGUUCCAGCACCUCCCAGUCCUGCAAGGCCUCUGCAGUCUCUGGUCAGCUCUCCCGUCGCACCUACAACCAGAAGAGGCUCCCAGAACAGUGUUAGGUUUUGCUGUAAUAAAACUUCCUCUUGUUUUGUUCA
Long non-coding RNA from Neofelis nebulosa (Clouded leopard), 1948 nucleotides. RefSeq lists it as uncharacterized. The record is from RefSeq and is a predicted model, not a curated record. Lineage: Eukaryota; Metazoa; Chordata; Mammalia; Carnivora; Felidae. The transcript is spliced from 3 exons.